This is a long non-coding RNA of Amblyraja radiata (thorny skate), 323 nucleotides long. RefSeq lists it as uncharacterized. Lineage: Eukaryota; Metazoa; Chordata; Chondrichthyes; Rajiformes; Rajidae. The record is from RefSeq and is a predicted model, not a curated record. The transcript is spliced from 2 exons.
UUCCUCCCACAUCCCAAAGACGUGCGGGUUUGUAGGUUAAUUGGCCUCUGCAAAUUGUCUCGAGUGUGUCGGGACUGGAUGAGAAAGUAGGACAACAUAGAAUUAACCUGAACAGGUGACCAAUGCUUGGUGUGGACUCGGUAUACCCAAUGCACUGCAAACAGUGCACAUCUUGGGACUUAGUUCCAAUGUAGAUUUAGAAAAUUAUCUGAUAUAUAUCUGGGAUCGGAUUUGAAUGAGAAUCAGCACCUUUGGGGGUUUUUUUUUUAAGUCGCUUGCUUUUAUUUGAUCAAAAACAAUGUUACUGAUAGAAGCAAAAUCUG